Molecule: transfer RNA, 71 nt
Filed under: Epinephelus polyphekadion
Lineage: Eukaryota; Metazoa; Chordata; Actinopteri; Perciformes; Serranidae
Description: tRNA-Ile
Rfam family: tRNA
About the family: Transfer RNA (tRNA) molecules are approximately 80 nucleotides in length.
Source: RNAcentral
GGAACUGUGCCUGAAAGUAAAGGGCCACUUUGAUAGAGUGGAUCAUGAAGAUUAAACUCCUUCCAGCUCCU